UUUCCGUAGGUGAACCUGCGGAAGGAUCAUUAAAAAUGAAGACCCAUAUAAUGAGGGUCUUAUUAAUAAUCCUACCCUUUGUGAAUUUGUUUGUUUUAUAAACUUGUGUCUUUCCCUGUUUUUGAUGGAGCUUGUUUAAAAAAGCAAAAUCAAAUUCAGGGAAUGGCAAAACCUUUUUUUAAAAUUAAACUUUUUGUAUUCAUUUGUCUAAAAAUUAUUUUUAUAAUAUAAAAACAACUUUUGACAAUGGAUCUCUUGGUUCUCGCAACGAUGAAGAACGCAGCAAAAUGCGAUAAGUAAUGUGAAUUGCAGAAUACGUGAGUCAUCGAAUCUUCGAACGCAUAUUGCACUUUUUUGGUUUACCAAAAAGUAUGUCUGUUUGAGUAUCAGUAAAAUAUUCUCAUAAAAAACUUUUGUUUUUUAUGGUUAUGAGUGUUUUACAACGAUAAACAAGUUGUUUCACUUUAAAUUCUUUGACUUGAAAAAAAAUCAUUAAAAACUGAUUUUUUUAAAAUUGGAUAAAAUUUCCUGUAAAAAAGGAAUAACCUAAACAAUUUUAAGAAAUUAUUAGUUUGAUUUUUUAAAAAGUACUAAAGGAAAAAAGUAAAAAUUAACUUGAUCUCAAAUCAGAUAAGAGUACCGCUGAACUUAAGCAUAUCAAUAAGCGGAGGAAAAGAAACUAACUAGGAUUCCUCAGUAACGGCGAGUGAAGCGGGAAGAGCUCAAAUUUGAAAUCUUCAAGGUUCUACCUUGACGAAUUGUAGUUUAAAGAAGUGUUUUCUGUUGGAGUUUUGGUAAAAGUUCUUUGGAAUAGGACAUCAUAGAGGGUGAGAAUCCCGUAUUUGACCAUUAUUUCCAACUUUGUGAUACACUUUCAAAGAGUCGGAUUGUUUGGAAUGCAGUCCAAAAUGGUGGUAAAUUUCAUCUAAAGCUAAAUACUGGCGAGAGACCGAUAGCGAACAAGUACCGUGAGGAAAGAUGAAAAGAACUUUGAAAAGAGAGUUAAACAGUACGUGAAAUUGUCAAAAGGGAAGCGUUUGACACCAGUGUUGUUUUCUCGAAAAUCAAUUAAAAAUGGCAGGAUUCUGUGUUGUAUUGACUUUAUCAGCUUCUGCACUUUUUCUUGUCUUUUUUAAUGCACUUUUCGUUUAACAAGUCAACAUCAAUUUCUUUUGCUGUAAAAGAGUCAUUGGAAGGUGGCUUCUUUUCGGAGAAAGUGUUUAUAGCCUUUGACUUCUGCAGUCGAGAGAUUGAGGUCUGCAGCGUAGAUCCUUCGGGGUUAGAUGCAUUUGUGCUAAGUUAUAGCCUUUCAUAGACAACUUGUUGACUAUGAUCAGUCAUGUAGCUUACUCGCUUAUGUUAUUUUACCUACGCUUAGGAUGUUGAU
RNAcentral lists this unclassified non-coding RNA (1387 nucleotides) under uncultured Neocallimastigales. RNAcentral's name for it is "partial contains small subunit ribosomal RNA, internal transcribed spacer 1, 5.8S ribosomal RNA, internal transcribed spacer 2, and large subunit ribosomal RNA". The stretch from base 617 to 1387 matches the Rfam family "Eukaryotic large subunit ribosomal RNA", at positions 1 to 630 of the family's 3401-position model. Lineage: Eukaryota; Fungi; Neocallimastigomycota; Neocallimastigomycetes; Neocallimastigales. The record is from RNAcentral.